CAGCAGCCGCGGGAAUACGAAGGGUGCAAGCGUUAAUCGGAAUUACUGGGCGUAAAGCGUGCGUAGGCGGUUUGUUAAGUCUGUUGUGAAAUCCCCGGGCUCAACCUGGGAAUGGCAAUGGAUACUGGCAAGCUAGAGUGUGUCAGAGGAUGGUGGAAUUCCCGGUGUAGCGGUGAAAUGCGUAGAGAUCGGGAGGAACAUCAGUGGCGAAGGCGGCCAUCUGGGACAACACUGACGCUGAGGCACGAAAGCGUGGGGAGCAAACAGGAUUAGAUACCCCAGUAGUCCCUGUCUCUUAUAA
RNAcentral lists this ribosomal RNA (301 nucleotides) under uncultured bacterium. RNAcentral's name for it is "partial 16S ribosomal RNA". It matches the Rfam family "Bacterial small subunit ribosomal RNA", at positions 509 to 809 of the family's 1533-position model. The record is from RNAcentral.